CCUACGGGUGGCAGCAGUUAAGAAUAUUCCGCAAUGGACGAAAGUCUGACGGAGCGACGCCGCGUGGAUGAAGAAUGCCGAAAGGUUGUAAAAUCCUUUUAAGCCUGAGGAAUAAGCACAGUAGGGAAUGAUUGUGUGGUGACUGUAGGGCUUGAAUAAGCACCGGCAAAUUACGUGCCAGCAGCCGCGGUAACACGUAAGGUGCGAGCGUUGUUCGGAAUUAUUGGGCGUAAAGGGCAUGUAGGCGGAUGAGCAAGCUUGGUGUGAAAUGCUACAGCUUAACUGUGGGACAGCAUUGAGAACUGCACAUCUUGAAUUACUGAAGGGUAACUAGAAUUCCACGUGUAGGGGUGAAAUCUGUAGAUAUGUGGAAGAAUACCAAUGGCGAAGGCAAGUUACCGGCAGAUAAUUGACGCUGAGGUGCGAAAGUGCGGGGAGCGAACAGGAUUAGAUACCCCUGUAGUC
Molecule: ribosomal RNA, 465 nt
Filed under: uncultured Treponema sp.
Lineage: Bacteria; Pseudomonadati; Spirochaetota; Spirochaetia; Treponematales; Treponemataceae
Description: bacterial SSU rRNA
Rfam family: Bacterial small subunit ribosomal RNA
Source: RNAcentral